GGUUCGAUGGUGUAGUUGGUUAUCACGUCAGUCUAACACCAGUUAGUCCACUGAAGGUCUCCAGUUCAAGUCUGGGUCGAAUCA
This 84-nucleotide transfer RNA is filed under the name Didymella sp. IMI 355093. RNAcentral's name for it is "tRNA-Val". The record is from RNAcentral. Lineage: Eukaryota; Fungi; Ascomycota; Dothideomycetes; Pleosporales; Didymellaceae.